Molecule: non-coding RNA, 170 nt
Organism: Caenorhabditis elegans
Lineage: Eukaryota; Metazoa; Nematoda; Chromadorea; Rhabditida; Rhabditidae
Source: Ensembl
UAGAUGGUGUCAUCACAAGUGCCAAUGUCGCCCACUCUUCAUCAUCCCUCUUACUGUAACCAUCGCCUCUCCUCUUUAUAUUACACAACCUCAUUAGCACGAAUCGUGCUUUGAUCGGCCCGCCGCCUCUCCCAAGAAGGUGGCCGGCCACCUGUCGACGACCCCCAAAA